GACGUAGCGCAGUGGUAGUGUGACUGCCUGCGAAGCAGAUGGGUUCGGAUUCGAUUCUCGUCAGGUCA
This is a non-coding RNA of Phthorimaea operculella (potato tuberworm), 68 nucleotides long. The record is from the annotation of a GenBank genome assembly. Lineage: Eukaryota; Metazoa; Arthropoda; Insecta; Lepidoptera; Gelechiidae.